AAGACGGCCCUACGGGUUGUAAACUGCUUUUAUACCGGAAUAAACCUCGUUAUGUAUAACGAGCUGAAUGUACGGUAAGAAUAAGGAUCGGCUAACUCCGUGC
Molecule: ribosomal RNA, 103 nt
Filed under: uncultured bacterium
Lineage: Bacteria
Description: partial 16S ribosomal RNA
Source: RNAcentral